RNAcentral lists this ribosomal RNA (253 nucleotides) under uncultured bacterium. Its description in RNAcentral is "partial 16S ribosomal RNA". It matches the Rfam family "Bacterial small subunit ribosomal RNA", at positions 524 to 776 of the family's 1533-position model. The record is from RNAcentral.
UACGGGGGGGGCUAGCGUUGUUCGGAAUUACUGGGCGUAAAGGGCGCGUAGGCGGUCUGCUAAGUUGGAUGUGAAAACUCUGGGCUUAACCCAGAGCCUGCAUUCAAUACUGACAGGCUAGAGUUCUGGAGGGGAUAGCGGAAUUCCUGGUGUAGCGGUGAAAUUCGUAGAUAUCAGGAGGAACACCAGUGGCGAAGGCGGCUUUCUGGACGGUAACUGACGCUGAGACGCGAAAGCGUGGGGAGCAAACAGG